Molecule: long non-coding RNA, 310 nt
Filed under: Phoenix dactylifera (date palm)
Lineage: Eukaryota; Viridiplantae; Streptophyta; Magnoliopsida; Arecales; Arecaceae
Description: long non-coding RNA (PDAC_LNC005917)
Source: RNAcentral
AAAAAAGAGGGAGGGCGAUGGUCUUGUGCUGAUGUUGGUACGUAACGAUAGCAUGACCGAUGACAAGCAACGGCAACUAGAAAAAAAGAAGGAAGAGGGAAAACAAGGGCUAAAACAAGGAUCAUGGCUCAAUAUUCUGAUCGAGCCUCAGUUUGUUUGUUGGUGGCUAAGCUCUGGUGCCAUGUUAGAAGGGGUCUAAGCGCCUACGUCGAAGAGAAAGAAGAAGAGAUCAUUAAUCUAAGAAGAUCACCAAACUUGAUGUGGACUAUUUUGGCUACGACAGAAAAGACUAGACAGAAUUCAUAAUCAA